AGUGAAACUGCGAACGGCUCAUUACAACAGAUAUAAUUUACCAGUUGAUUUAAAGUUAUACGGAUAACUGCGGUAAUUCUGGAGCUAAUACGUGCGAAAAGCUCGAUGUUCGCAAGAAUUUCGAGUGCAUUUAUUGGUGCAAAACCGGUCCCCGCAAGGGGUAUCAUUUGCUUAAUCUGGAUAAAUUCGCUUAUCGUAUGGCCUUGUGUCGACGAAAUUUCUGUCAAGUAUCUGCCUUAUCAAUUGUCGUUGGUGCUGUAUUGGAGUACCAUGGUGUUAACGAGUAACGGAGAAUCAGGGUUUGACUCCGGAGAGGGAGCCUUAGAAACGGCUACCAUGUCUAAGGAUAGCAGCAGGCGCGAAAAUUACCCAAUAUCAAAACGAUGAGGUAGUGACGAGAAAUAACAAGACCGUUCUCUUUGAGGUCGGUCAUUGGAAUGGGUACAAUGUAGACACUUUAACGAGUAUCUACGAGAGGGCAAGUCUGGUGCCAGCAGCCGCGGUAAUUCCAGCUCUCGUAAGGUAUAGAAUUAUUGCUGUGGUUAAAAAGUUCGUAGUUGGAUUGUUAAGUUGGUGCGGGUCCAUCUUUUACGGAUGUGUACUCGUUGCCUUCGAAUUUACAUAUUGUGGGGUGGGUUGCGCUUGCGUGGCUCACUCUCGUAUGUAGGAUUACUUUGAACGGCUCAAGUGCUUAAAGCAUGUCUUAUGACUGAAUACCGGUGCAUGGAAUAAUGGAACAGGGCUUCGGCCGGGUUUUAUUGGUUUUGCCGGCUGAUGCAAUGGUUAACAGGAACAAUCGGGGGCAUUCGUAUCGUUACGCGAGAGGUGAAAUUCGUGGACCGUAGCGAGACGUACUAAAGCGAAGGCAUUUGCCAAGAGUGUUUUCAUUAAUCAAGAACGAAAGUCAGAGGUUCGAAGGCGAUUAGAUACCGCCCUAGUUCUGACCGUAAACGAUGCCAACUGUCGAUCCGCUUGUGGAUUUAAUUCAUGAGCGGGGAGGUUCCCGGAAACGAAAGUUUUUCGGUUCCGGGGGAAGUAUGGUUGCAAAACUGAAACUUAAAGGAAUUGACGGAAGGGCACCACCAGGAGUGGAGCUUGCGGCUUAAUUUGACUCAACACGGGAAAUCUCACCCGGCCAGUACAUUGUAAGGAUUGACAGAUUGAUAGCUCUUUCAUGAUUCGGUGAAUGGUGGUGCAUGGCCGUUCUUAGUUCGUGGGGCCGACUUGUCUGGUUUAUUCCGAUAACGAGCGAGACUUUGACUAUUAAAUAGUGCGUACUUUACUUCGGUUGAGUAUGAUCACUUCUUAAAGGAAUUUGGGGUUUCCAACCUCAAGAGAUUGAGCAAUAACAGGUCUGUGAUGCCCUUAGAUGUUCGGGGCCGCACGCGUGCUACAAUGAUGGUAACAGCGUGAUUGUCCUUCUCCGAGAGGAGUUGGCAAACCCUUGAGAUAUUAUUAUGGCUGGAAUUAAGAGUUGAAAUUUUCUCUUAUGAACGAGGAAUUCCAAGUAAAUGUGAGUCAUCAACUCACAUUGAUUACGUCCCUGCCCUUUGUACACACCGCCCGUCGCUGCCCGGGACUGGGUUACCUCGAGAAAACUCGGGAUUGUUGAUUUGCAAUGCUUUCGGGUAUUGUUUUUGAUGAGAACGAGUUUAAUCGCGGUGGC
This 1666-nucleotide ribosomal RNA is filed under the name Ektaphelenchoides andrassyi. Its description in RNAcentral is "SSU rRNA". It matches the Rfam family "Eukaryotic small subunit ribosomal RNA". Lineage: Eukaryota; Metazoa; Nematoda; Chromadorea; Rhabditida; Aphelenchoididae. The record is from RNAcentral.